This 494-nucleotide ribosomal RNA is filed under the name uncultured bacterium. Its description in RNAcentral is "bacterial SSU rRNA". It matches the Rfam family "Bacterial small subunit ribosomal RNA", at positions 903 to 1397 of the family's 1533-position model. The record is from RNAcentral.
AAAUGAAUUGACGGGGACCCGCACAAGCAGCGGAGCAUGUGGUUUAAUUCGAAGCAACGCGAAGAACCUUACCAAGACUUGACAUAUAUAUGACCACUAUAGAGAUAUAGUCUUUUCUUCGGAGACAUAUAUACAGGUGGUGCAUGGUUGUCGUCAGCUCGUGUCGUGAGAUGUUGGGUUAAGUCCCGCAACGAGCGCAACCCCUAUGAUUAGUUGCCAAUAUUAAGUUAGGAACUUUAGUCAGACUGCCGUGGAUAACACGGAGGAAGGUGGGGAUGACGUCAAAUCAUCAUGCCCCUUACGUCUUGGGCUACACACGUGCUACAAUGGCUAUUACAAAGAGCAGCGAAACAGCAAUGUCAAGCGAAUCUCAUAAAGGUAGUCUCAGUUCGGAUUGUGGGCUGCAACCCGCCCACAUGAAGCAGGAGUUGCUAGUAAUCCCGAAUCAGCAUGUCGGGGUGAAUGCGUUCCCGGGUCUUGCACACACCGCCCGU